This 235-nucleotide ribosomal RNA is filed under the name uncultured bacterium. Its description in RNAcentral is "partial 16S ribosomal RNA". It matches the Rfam family "Bacterial small subunit ribosomal RNA", at positions 96 to 334 of the family's 1533-position model. The record is from RNAcentral.
UGGCGGACGGGUGAGUAAUGUCUGGGAAACUGCCUGAUGGAGGGGGAUAACUACUGGAAACGGUAGCUAAUACCGCAUAACGUCGCAAGACCAAAGAGGGGGACCUUCGGGCCUCUUGCCAUCGGAUGUGCCCAGAUGGGAUUAGCUAGUAGGUGGGGUAACGGCUCACCUAGGCGACGAUCCCUAGCUGGUCUGAGAGGAUGACCAGCCCCACUGGAACUGAGACACGGUCCAG